RNAcentral lists this long non-coding RNA (10096 nucleotides) under Paramuricea clavata. The record is from RNAcentral. Lineage: Eukaryota; Metazoa; Cnidaria; Anthozoa; Malacalcyonacea; Plexauridae.
CUGUAUUAAAAUGCAAGCUCUUAUGAUUUAUACAAGUAAGUGCAAUAUUACGUUAUGAUGUUAUAUUCAUAUUACGUUUAAUUAAUAUGUUUUAUUCAUAACACAGCUGUUAGUUGGACCCCCUGUGUAAAAACAUCGAUAAAUGUCGGGCUGUUGUGAUUUUGCUGUCACUCGUAAUGAGCGUCAAGAUGGCGCUCUAUUGGGGUAAAGGUGGUAUAUUGUGAUUGUCAUAUCUUCUUAACGAGUUCGGUGACCCCGACUUUUUUGUGUGAUUUUACUUUAAGUAUAUUACAAACUCCGUGCCUGGGAAGUUUCAGCACAUUCUUAUUUCGGGAACAAUUACUGCGGAAUUACCUUAAACAGAGUAAAAUAAUUUGAGAGAAUUUCACAGAGAUCUGCGACCCAUCUAUGAGUCUGGUCGAUUGUUUCCGUGGAUCUUCGCGCAGAACUGCCAGCUGAGCUUGGAAUGUACAAUAAUAAAGUGGGUUAAAUAUAUUCUAUAGUAAAGAUUUUUUAUUUAAAAAGUAUACAAUUAUAUAUAGUCAUACAUAGCUUUGAUCGCGUUUUUAUUAGCCUGCGAACAGGCUCACUGGGAGAAAGGUGAGCCUGCACGGAACCAUGCGUUUUAUUCAUUCAUCCCCUUUUCGCACUGCUAAACGCUAACCAAUCAGCGUCGACUGCGAUAAAUAAACUGUCAACUGUCAAAUUGACGCAAGGCGUGUACAUUGUGCAACAUGAACAAUAAUAAUACAAAGCAUUAGCGGGCCGCACAAUAUAUUACUCGGAAAAAUAUAGAAUUCUUCAAAUAUUAAAUAGAUAUCAAUACACAUACAAAUAUAAAGCCGAAUAAACUACCAUUGGCUUUGAAUGUACAGUAAUACUUGUACUAUGUGCGACUGAAAGAACAAUGUUCUGAAUAUUUUGAAGCUAUUACUAAAAUACGGUCAGAUAGAUUGGGAUUUGGAAUACCGAAUACGUUUAAAAUUUUACUAACUGUGGUCUAAAUAAAUGAUAAAUGAGCAUGUAUUUAUUAAUUUCUUCGAAAUCACGAGUGUGCCAAUAGUGGAAGCCGUAUCGACGACGAAAUUGUCAGCAGUUAAUAUACAGUAAACAGUACAACGUUUAAUGUACGAUAUAUAUUUAUCUAAAUGACAUGCCAGCGAGGAUCGACAAUAUAAUUAUUCGUACAUAUUUGGGUAUCUUUUGUAUGCCUUCGCUUGCUGACUUGCUCACUAAUGAGAAUAAUCCGUGAAGCCACGACGACCUCAAAAUGUACUAUACUAUGGUCUGAUGUCAAUCCGAAGACGAAGUUCAGAAUACUGUUAUAGUUUCGUAUAUUGGAUUUAAGCGAUAGAUUCAAGUCAUUUAUGAUAGACUUUUUUGCUGUGAUGCUUUGCUAUUGCUUUUGGUUUCCAUUUCUAGUUUUAUUUGUUCGAUAGUCCUAUAAUAUAUAAUAUUAAAAUGAAUAAAGUUCAAAUUCUUCAAAAUGCUGUUGUUGACAUUUGCUAUUUUUAGUAAUUUUGUCAACGAGUGUAAGCCAAUCAGAAGCCUGCGUUUCUAUACGAACGCCACUACCAAGAAAACCUAUCAUCCGUGCAGGCCCUCUAUUCUUCGCGCCGCCCGCAACCCAGGGCCUGUUCGCAGGCUACGUUUUUAUCAGUCAACUGCACCGAAUUUCUUACAUAUAUAGGCCUAUAUGUAUGCACGGACCACCAAUUCCACCACCAACUUUCAAGGACUUGAAUCAACAACUCCAAAAGAGUUACUCUGUCAUGACAGAAUAACACUUUUGGAGAUUGAAAUAAUUUACAAUGCAACACUACAGUGUAAGUAGGAACACAGUAGCUUUGUCGAUAUUAUUAAACAUAUUGCGACAAUUUUGUUGUUUUGACAGUUGUUAAAAAUAUCUUGCGGCAUCAUCUUUGAACUUUCUUCCCCCCUUGUGAGUGUUCACAUGGAGAAAUUUUUCUCCUGGUAAGCGAAAUCUUGCCUCUUUCAAGCGAGAUCACGGUACCUGAUUUUACUAUAUAAAAAUAAUUAUACACAGUAAGAUCUCGCUUACCGGGCUGUCUCGCUAAUUUUCGAAGCCAUGAUAAUAUCACUGUGUAUAAUCUUUUUGACGAAAACAUUUAUUGCAUGCAUUAAGCAUUAUUAAGCUAAAACUAAAAGUUAUUUAUUUAAACUUUUAAUAUACAGUAUAUUUUGAUUUGAACCUCGUUCCCAGGAUUUUCAUGGUGUGGAUGGGGCAUACUUCCAUGUAAGAGAAAAAAGGACAAAAAAGGGAUAAUGCCACUUUCAUGGAAACUCUUGCUUCGAAGUAUUCAAUUAAUAUAAAAAGACAAUAUACCCGUUGGGGUAAAAAAUCGAGUCACACUGCCCUGCAGGAGAAAAAGUCAACAAGUAACUAAAAAAUGCUGCCUUUUUAUGGCAACUCUUGCUUCCAAAUUAAUAAGAGCUAGACACUACAUACACAACUCUUUAUAUAUUACUAUAUCUAAGUAUAUCGAACAGUUUUAGGAAACAGACUGUUUGACAUAUAAUUCGUUGCUAAAAAGUUGCAAGGUUGCCAAAUGACAAUGCACGCUGCAGGCUAUAUAUGCAAUUACUGUUUUUCCAGGCUCCGUGAAUAAGUCAAGCUGAGCUGUAAAAACACUUAUGAACCAAAAUACAUAGCAUACUGUAUCACGUUUUAUUAACGACAUAAUAUAACAUAUAGUAUAGGUCGGUCUUGUUAGAGACUGUAUAGGAUUACACUAAACUCUUCAGUACAAUUGCUUUAAUUAAAGAUACUCUUUAGUUUAGACUAGCUUUAUUUUACGACAAGAAAGAAUAGUUUAAAACAUACAACGUCACUGCAAUUGUAAAUUUCUGCAUGUACAUGCAUGCAGGUAAAAUUAUAAUAUUCGCAUGAGAUAUAAAAUUUCUUACAUAAGCAAUUUUCACAAAGAACGAUGUGUCAUAUUGUAGAUCUUACAUAAUUACAGGUCCUUACCGCGAUCCUUGUAGGAUAACAGCUUUCAGUAGCUGAACAAUUUUAACCUGAUAAAUAUAGAAUAAGAAAUGUGUUAGAAAUAUUAAAGAUUUAAAGUGAAAUAAUUUCAAAAUAAUGCACAAUGUCAAUGAACUCGUGUUUUCAGUAUUACUAUUUCUUUUUCAAGGCAAAAGCGGUUUCGGAGACAAAGAGUAUGGCAUGACCGUUUCACCUUCUUAAAAUCAUUCAAAUGUUUUUAAAUAAAUUCACAAAUGGAUGAUUCCAGCUGCAGUUUGAUUUAGGCAAAAAAACGAAAUCCAUCAGACCAUCACCAUACAGCUAAAAAGAUCAUCUUAAAAUUAGUAACAUUGCCAAGUUUGGUUGCGACUUGCGAAAUAUUGUAAAAUGAGGAAAAUAUAGCUUUGUAUUAUUUUGUAUUACGCGCAGGAAAAUGCACCAAAGCGAGAUCUCACUGUGUAUAGCUAUUUUUAGAGUUGAAUGUACCAAGAUCUCGCUAAUUGAAAGAGGCAAGAUCUCUCUUACCAGGACGAAAAUUUCUCUCUUCUUUAAGACGAGUAUAUUGAAUAAAAUAUGAUAAUUUCGUAUUAAUUUGUAUUAUACGCAAGGCAAAAUGCACCACAUGCACAUUUGGGCCGAAAGGUCUCGCUAAUUUUCGAAGCCAUGAUAAUAUCACUGUGUAUAAUCUUUUUGACGAAAACAUUUAUUGCAUUAAGCAUUAUUAAGCUAAAACUAAAAGUUAUUUAUUUAAACUUUUAAUAUACAGUAUAUUUUGAUUAACCUCGUCCCCAGGAUUUUCAUGGUGUGCAUGGAUGGGGCAUACUUCCCAUAUGCAAGAGAAAAAAUCGACAAAAAAGGGAAAAUGCCACUUUCAUGGCAACUCUUGAUUCGAAAUAUUCAAUUAUAAAAAGACAAUAUAUACCCGUUGGGGUAAAAAAUCGAGUUACACUGCCCUGCAGGAGAUGAAGUCAACAAGUAACUAAAAAAUGCUGCCUUUUUAUGGCAACUCUUGCUUCCAAAUUAAUAAGAGCUAGACACUACAUACACAACUCUUUAUAUAUUACUAUAUCUUAGUAUAUCGAACCGUUUUAGGAAACAGACUGUUUGACAUAUAAUUCGUUGCUAAAAAGUAGCAAGGUUGCCAAAUGUGACAAUGCACGCUGCGGGAUAUAUGCAAUUACUGUUUUUUCAGGCUCCAUGAAUAAGUCAAGCUGAGCUGUAAAAACGCUUAUAAACCAAAAUACAUAGCAUACUGUACACGCUUUAUUAACGACAUAAUAACAUACAGUUAUAGGUCGGUCUUGUUAGAGACUGUAUAGGAUUACACUAAACUCUUCAGUACAAUUGCUUUAAAGAUACUCUUUAGUUUAGACUUUACUUUACGACAAGAAAGAAUAGUUUAAAUAUACAAUGUCACUGCAAUUGUAAAUUUUUGCAUGUACAUGCAUGCAGGUAAAAUUAUACUAUUUUCAUGAGAUAUAAAAUUUCUUACAUAAGCAAUUUUCACAAAGAACGAUGUGUCAUAUUGUAGAUCUUACAUAAUUACAGGUCCUUACCGCGAUCCUUGUAGGAUAACAGCUUUCAAUAGCUGAACAAGUUUUAACCUGAUAAAUAUAGAAUAAGAAAUGUGUUAGAAAUAUUGAAGUGAUAUAAUUUCAAAUGCACAAUGUCAAUGAACUCGUGUUUUAAUUUCAGUAUUACUAUUUCUUUUUCAAGGCAAAAGCGGUUUCCAUGAUAAAGAGUAUAUAUGGCAUGACUUUCACCUUCUUACUGUAAAAUCAUACUUUAAAUGUUUUUAAAUAAAUUCACAAUCAGUUUGAUUUAGGCAAAAAAAACGAAAUCCAUCACAGCAGCUAAAUAGAGCAUCUUAAAAUUCGUAACAUUGUCAAGUUUGGUUGCGACUUGCGAAAUCUUGUAAAAUGAGGAAAAUAUAGCCCUACAAAAUUUGCAAAUUUUGUAUUAUUUUGUAUUACGCGCGGGAAAAUGCACCACUUUCGGCCCAAAUGUGGUGCAUUUUGCUUUGCGUAAUACAAAUUAAUACGAAAUUAUCAUAUUCUAUAUUCAAUACUCGUCUUAGGGAAGAGAGAAAUUUAAAAGAGAAAAAUAACUAUACACAGUGAGAUCUCGCUUACCGGACUGUCUCGCUAAUUUUCCGGAAACCAUGAUAACACUACUUUAAUUAUAAUCUUUUUAACGAAUACAUUUAUUGCAUUAAGCAUUAUAUUAUUAAAGCUAAAACUGAAAGUUAUUUAUUUAAACUCUUAAUAUACUGUAUAUUUUGAUCAACCUCGUCCCCAUUUUCAUGGUGUGGAUAGGGGCGAAGCUAAUGGGGGCCGGGGGGGAUGCAGGAGAAAAAUCAGGAAAAAGGGAGAAAUUCCGCUUUCAUAGCAACUCUUGCUUCGAAUUAUUUAAUUAUUGUACAGAGACAAUAACCGUUAGAAAAAUCGAUUUACCCUGCAGGAGAAAAAGUCAAUAACAAGCAACUAAAAAAUGCUGCCUUUUUAUGGCAGCUCUUGCUUCCAAAUGAAGAGACACUAUACAUACACAACUCUCUAUAUAUUACUAUAUCUAAGUGUAUCGAACCGUUUUAGGAAACAGACUGUUUGAAAGUACAAAUUCGUUGCUAAAAGUUGCAACGUUGUCGUUGCCAAAUGACAAUGCACGCUGCGGGAUAUGUGCAAUUACUAGCUGUUCAGUUUUUUCUAUACCAAUGGCAAUGAGUCACGCCAGCUGGAACUGUAAAAACGCUUAUAAACCGAAAUACAUAUAGCAUACUGUAUUCAGUACUAUUCAGUACAGUUGCUUAGUUUAUAAAUUAAAAGAUAGUCUUUAGUUUAGACUUUACGACACGACAAAAAGGAAUAGUUUAAAAUAUACAAAGUAUACAACCAUGCGGGUUAUAAUACCUUAUAAUACAUUAUAAUAUUUGAGAAUAUAGCAUAAAAUCUUUUACAUAACUCAUAAGCAAUUUUCACAAAGAAUAUGUGUCAAUUACAGAUCCUUACAGGUCUUUGACCCUGUAUAGGAUAACAACUUUCAGUAGCUGAACAAGUUUUAACCGGAUAAAUACAGAAUAAUAAUAAUAAUAUGAAAUGAUCCUACUCGCAUUAAUUUGUGAAUUUAUUUAAAAACAUUUAAAGUAGAUUUUGAGAAGGUGAAACGGUCAUGCCAUACUCUUUGUCUCGGAAACCGCUUUUGCCUUGAAAAAAAAUAGUACGUAAUACUGAACACACGAAUUCAUUGAAAUUGACCAUUUGAAAUUAUUUCACAUAUUGCUAAUGGCCCGUUUGUACACUUUUGCUGCGAUUGUAUAGGUGCGAUUUUCUUCUUCUGAUGGAUGUGAACGAGUGGAUGAGUUAUGGAUGUUCAGAUGAAGGUAUACAUGAGAUGAGUUAUGAAUAUUCUGUGCAUGUACAUGAGAGCGAGUGUUUCACCGGGAUAUAUUUGUUCACAUUCAUCAGAAGAAGAAAAUCGCACUAAAAAUCGCAGCCAAAAUUGCAAGUGUAUAAACGAGCCUUAACAUAUUUCUGCAACGUCACUGUCACUGGAAUUUCAAAACAAUGAAAUUAUCAUAUAACCUGUUCUAUUCGAUUUUCACUAAAUUAAAAAACCCGAUGCACAACUGUUUUUGAAAUUUCUAAAUGAACUUAAUAAUGAAGUGAUGUGAAUUUAAAGGGAUGACUUUAAAAGCUGAAAAAGUCAUGCAACACAUCAAAUAAAAGUCAUACAACAAAUUGCCAAAUGGGAUUUGGCAUGGCCUUGAAUAUUUAACCAAAAACAGCUGAUUGUUCAUAAAUUUCUCCUUCAUGCAUGCAGGUCGGUCUUAAAAUAGCCAGUGAUUAAAAAUUUUGAUUCAUAAUCAGUUGGGAAAACCCUAUAUAUCAUUUGCAUAACUAUAUAGUUUGGGUGGGGGUAUAUAAAUCCAUGUCGUUUGACGAUUGAGUCAAGUCAUUGCAUGAAAAAAUUAGAACAAGGUCAAGCAUUUAUUUUAAUGUAAACUUAAUUUAAAAUGAGGUGGAUAUUCAACGAAGUCAAAGAGUUUGGGACAAUCAAAGAUCGGCUGUGGCUUUUCGCCAUUUAUACAUUUAAGGUAAAACUAGCUUUUGUUGUGCUGUUUUGUGUUAUGUUGCGUUGCGUUUAGACAGAUUUAGAAAAGACGACGUGCUAAACUCAACGACGUGAUUUCAAUUUCAGUUGAAGAAUUAAUAAGCGCUAUGAGGAAUGUGAUUGUUGUAAUAAAUGCUAGCAAAGUUUAUAAAAUAAAAAGUUACAAAAAGCCAAGCUAUAUGUGAAAAUGCCUAGUUUAACAUUGAGUUCGGAAUAAUAACGUUGUUGUUGAAGGGAUCAGUCAGCUUUGUCUUGCAAGAAGAAUUUCUUCGUUUCGAAGGGCGUCUUUGAGAUCGCAUCGUCCAUUAUUUUUGUUGAAACAAUGCCUAUAAUUUCCAUGCAGUUUAGAAUCAGGAAACAUAUGGACACAAACAAUUAAUGUGUUUUGAAAACGGCACAGAAAAGUCUCGAUUAGCCGUGGCACUUCUAAUACCAGUCACUACGCCAUAGAGAAAUUGUUUGAAAACGUUACUUUCGCUGUAACAAUUUGAGCACGGUUUCUAAACGGAGCGAGAUGAAAACGGGGCGCUUGGACGCUUCGUGUGAACACAAAAUAAUGCUGUCACCUAGCUUUUUUGUACCGCUUGCAAACCAUGCAAGUAUCUCAGAUCUCAAAACAGAAAAUUCGACUAAUUAUAUGCUUUUCAUUUAAACUUCUUUGCUCUAUUUGAAAUAUGUUGGUUUAUAUGAGUGCUAUAAUAGAAUUGGUAAACAAACUGAAACGGUGUAGUGUGAACAUGCAUACGUAUAUUCUGUCCGCAUUAUUUUGCUCCGGUGUUGUGUGGAACGUAUAGUCUGAAACUAAAAUAUAGCCUCCCUAUUUUCCAGGCCAGGGUGAUUAUGAUCAGAAUAUUAAGUUGUCAGUUGCAAAACCCCAAUGUCUGCACUCUAGAGGUCACUUGGAGACUGGAUAUCACCCAGCGAAUUACUGUAAAUUUAAUAUGUAUACAUGGGUUUGAUUCUCGCUACGGACUCAUGUGAAAAGAGUCAGUCAAGGCCAGUCAAUGCUCUGCCGACAGUCGUGGGUUUUCUCAGGGUUCUCCGGUUUCCUACCAUAGGGAAAGUUGACAGGGUGGGUUAGUAUAAACACAGCAAAGAAAUUAAUAUCACAAUUGUUGUAAAGAUAAAAUAGUCUACACGCGUAAAAACGCUCAGGUUGAUGAAAUACUGAUGAAAACAGGAUUGAACAAUGUUUUGCUGCCCACAUUGUUCAUAGCUGUCAACAAUAUUGAACAAUAUUGUUACACCCGAUUCAGGCUCAACAACAUUGUUCAAUAUUGUUGACAAGUGUGAACAACAUGGGCAGCAAAACAUUGUUCAGUCCCGUUGGACAGCGGGCUCGGCGUUUUUUGCCGUGUAGGCUAAGUAUUGUAUUUAGGUAAGCGUAAUACUUGAUGUAAAAUGCAUUUGAUCAUAGAUAUGAUACAGAAUUCGAAAUGUUAUAAUCGUAAUCGUAUCAUGCAUACGAUAUAUAUAUAUAUAUAUAUAUAUAUAUAUAUAUCGGCUAAUUACGCAUUCUGCAAGAAAGCUUAUGCGCUUGUCUUGCAUCCUCGCACCCAGGGUCUUUUCGACCGUGGCACCAGAGCAUGAGAGAGAAUAGCCUGGAUACGAGGUUUGCUGAGCUUGUGGCUAAGCCACGACCCACAGACGCUCUGGGUGCGAGGUUAGACAGUGAGACUUUUGCUAAUUUCUUAUCCAAUCAUCCAAAUUUAACCAAAAUUAAUUUGUUCUUGGGCAAUGUCAAGUAAUCUCACAAAUUUAUCAUAUUCUAUAAGUUAUUGUAUUAAAAGGUAAAGUCAGAUAACUAUAUAACAUGAUUUUAAUCAAUUAAUUAUCGUAAAGUGUGUCGAAAGAGAAAUAUAGACGAUAUGUCUUCGAAAAGCACAAAGAUCAUCUGUUAGAAGCUGUCUUUUAUACGAUUACAGUUGUGGUGGGAAGUUGGGUUUUUCGUCUAUGGGGAAUACACAGGCUGUGUAUUUGUGGGGAUGGAGUGCUCCCAAAGGUCACCGUCAACUCCAUAGACUCACACAAAUCAAUGUAUUAUACAGUGUAUUGUAAAGUAAACAAUGAUCAUCACGGGGGUCUACUACCCCUUGGACAUUAAAGUAAACAAUGACCAUCACGGGGAUCUACUACCCCUUGGACAUUUAGGAUGCCCAUCUCGGGGAUCUACUACCCCUUGGGUAAAGUCCAACAUGGGGGAACCAUGACCCCCAGAGGACAUAUCAUUAUAUCAUAAUCAUAUUGCUGUAAUAGUGAGUCUGUGGGGCGACACUUUGGUCACAGUUUAAAGUAUAAUCGGAGCAUUUCUCCUCGACAACCCUUCUCCCACAACUUUGUGUGUGUCAUAGUUGUUUUCUUAAUUGUCUUAGAAUAUUUGCUUAACGAAUUGGUGCAUAAAACCUUGUGCAUAAAACCUUGUCCAAACUUUAGGCUGAGUUAGUUCCGAUAAAAAUGGAUGUUAUAUAUUCUCAAGAAUAUAUAACUUCAGGCUGUUAUAUACUCUUAAGCUGUUAGGUUCUAAAGUUGAUCUAUUUUACUGUAGGUGAUAUAUUUAUUCCAUUUCAUCCCAAGACUGUUUGGCCUGACGAUCUUUUCUGGAUUCGAUUCAAAAUGCGCUUUUUACGAAAACGCUUCGAUUUUCAAUUGCACACAAGAGUUUUUUGUAACACGCCCGAAACAGUGGAUCCUGUGUUGGCUAGUAUCAUCCAUCUUAUCUUCCAUCUGCCUGUAUUUCAUCUGUAUCUCGCGUAUGAAGCGAAUGAGAAUAUGUCAAGCGUGUAGACUUGUCAGUUUCUGGGUCAUGAUGAUACUAUUCUCCAUAACCUCCGCAAGUUUCCUGGUGCGAAUCAUCAAUACAGACCCAGAAGACAUGCCUUUGUUCUUGGCGUUGUUUAUAUGGUGGCCGUCAACAGUGUGGCAAAUUAUUUACUUGGACAAUCAAUACCCCGUCAGCUAUCCACUUAGCCAACCGCAAUCGUAAGUGAUCUAAAACAAUUC